Podarcis lilfordi (Lilford's wall lizard) is the source of this 14131-nucleotide non-coding RNA. Lineage: Eukaryota; Metazoa; Chordata; Lepidosauria; Squamata; Lacertidae. The record is from the annotation of a GenBank genome assembly.
UAAUCACCAGCACCGAACUGACACUACACUCAACUGACACUCCUAACUUUGCUUAUAUGGCUUUUAAUCCAUGUUUAGCCCCAACACAUUUUAAAAGGGCAUUGGAUGUCAAUCAGAUCAACCAAAGGCCUGGUUAAAAAUGAACCUUUUUGCCUGGCACCUAAAUACUGAAGGUGCCAGGUGAACUUUCCUGGAGAGAGCAUUCCACAGACGGGGAGCCACUGCAGAGAAGGCCCGUUCUCGUGUUGCCACCCUCUGGUUGAAAAGCCCAGAUCUUGCAAUUUCGUCAAUAGUGUUGGUUUCCAUUUGGAUUGAAAUGGGUCGAUCAGAGUCAGUGGGGCAAGACCUAUUUAGGGGCAUUUCAGUCUCCUUCUUCCAUUGGUGAGCUAUCGCUAGUCGUGCUGCGGUCGGUAAGAACCUUACUAUGCAGAAUUUGCUUCUGGACUUUGAAGGAUGAGCUCCUUGAAAGACUGGACCAUGACAGUUCAUUCUGCACACAUUGUCACGGAUGCUCUCGGCAAGCUUCUUCUUUUGAGCCAAGUUGGUGUUACAGCAGGCUAUUUUGUGUAAGCAUUUUUAAUGACUCUUAGUUCCUAUCAACUCUUUUCAAAGGUCAAGCUAUUCUUCCUUGAACAACAGUAAGUGUGCUUUGAAAUGCGGUGUGUGUGUGUGUGUGUGUGUGUGUGUGUGUGUGUGAUGCAGGAAGUUCGUGUUUUUUUCUAAAAUCUUGAAGUUUUUCUUCUUUUUUUUAAGCUCCUAGGGGUUUUCCAAUAAUUGACAAGCAACUAAGCAGUGGCAUGGAAAAAGCUUUUAAAGGUUAUUAGUUAUUCAGGAGUGCUGCAAAAGGGCAAUUUGGUCUUCAUUAGCAAGACAGUGUAAAUUGGAAAAAUGCUCCAGCCACUCAGAUACACUUUUAAAUAUAUCCAUGUUAGCAAGAAAGACCGCUGUCUGCUUAUUCAUGUUUGAUUGUCUUUGAUUUCACCUCAAGGUCUUGCCAGCCAGCUUGUAGAAGAUGACACUAAUGAAGGCAUAUUCUUCAUGUAUCACAGAGGGAGGCCUCUGCUUAUAUUAGAUUAUUAUUCUGCUCACACAGAGAUUAAUUUGAAAAACAUCAGCUUUUCUCAGGAAUACUUAGGUGCAAACCAUGCAUCGCAAAGUUAUUUGCAGUUAAAAAGCAAAACAACCUGCAAAUUGGAGCUCGGGAAGAUCUCGUGAAAAGAUGCCAUUUAAUCCUAUUCCCUUCCACAAGCAGUUCUUGGACCUACAGAAGGAAAAUCUAGAGCUGUUGGAGCAUCCCUGUAUCUUUCUCCUCACAGGGGAAAGGGAAGUUUGAGAGGAAUGGUUUUCACCUGAAAAGGAACCAAAGGGCAAAUGACUGAAUUGCAUCUUCCACCGAUCUUUCUACCACUCAGACCACACCUGGAAAACUGGUGACCCUCUAGAAGUUGCUGAAUUCAACUUCCAUCAUCCUGGAUGUGAGUUAAGGUAAAGAUAAAGGGACCCCUGACCAUUAGGUCCAGUCGUGGCUGACUCUGGGGUUGUGGCGCUCAUCUUGCUUUAUUGGCCGAGGGAGCCGGUGUACAGCUUCCAGGUCAUGUGGCCAGCAUGACUAAGCCACUUCUGGCGAACCAGAGCAGCGCACGGAAACGCCGUUUACCUUCCCGCCAGAGCGGUACCUAUUUAUCUACUUGCACUUUGAUGUGCUUUCGAACUGCUAGGUUGGCAGGAGCAGGGACCGAGCAAUGGGAGCUCACCCCGUUGCGGGGAUUCGAACCGCCAACCUUCUGAUUGGCAAGUCCUAGGCUCUGUGGUUUAACCCACAGCACCACCUACGUCCCGGAUGUGAGUUAGAGUCUUGCAAAAUCUGAAGGACCACAGGCUUCUCAACCCUGACAAAGUCUUCCCAGUGCUGGUUUGGGGGCUCACCCACAAUUCCAUUGGGUCUUUGACUUCUAAGCAUGACUCCAAGAGACUUUUCUUUGGUCCUGCUGCUUUGCCCAGAAAAUCCCGUCAUUUGCUGCUGAACCAGAGCAAAUGUCAAUCAGGUUUUCUGAGGACUGACAUCUGUGCCAUGGACCAAAUAUAUAAGAAAUCACGGAACAAAGGUAGUGUAGGUGAGCUCUGAGUUGAAAACAAAUCCACAGAUAAAAUAAUCCCAGAACUGUUCAUAACUGUCAGUUUUAACCUAUAUAAUGUUGAUUCCAAACCCAACACGAGGGUGGGGAGGAGAGGCAAGGAAACGAAUGCUAGAAACCUGUGGGUGGUUGUGGGGAGAGAUUAAACUGAGAUGCGUAGGCAUAAUAUCAGCAAAAAAAAAAAAAAAGUAGAAAUAGUUACAAAACUAUAUUUCACUGGUUUCUUUUAUUCUUUGGAACACAUGCAGCCCCGGAAUCUCCCUGCUGGUAAGGGAGUGCACUACCUGAAGUUUGGGAAGUAAUUUAUGAAUUUAAAAAAGAAAUGCUAAUAAUCUGUUUGCAGUGCAGCUCAGUUUGACUCAUCCUAUAUUCUGACACACAAGAGGGUAGCAACAGAGGUGAAUUUAGGGGAGCACGACUGGUUCGGUUACACUGGGCACAAAGCCUUGGGGGAGCUGCAGGGGGUGCUGCAAUAUCUGUUGGGUACCACACUGGGAAGGCUGCCUUGACAUUCCUAUACACAUGCUGAUUGUAUAAACUCACCCAGUGUCUAAACAGUGCCUCAAAACAUCCGCCUCUGAAGGAGAUGUUAACAGGAGUGUUAUAAAUUAAAUGCAAUAUGUCCUUCAAGCAGAAUUUAGAACUGACUCUGGUUGUGAAUAUGGUAUGUAAUUUCUUCCUGACACCUUUCACUGAAGCCCUCCACCCAAUGGUUUAUUUCCAGUGUCUCCAUUCAGAACAAGUUGCUUGACCUCGCAUUUAGAAGGUCUGUCAUCACCUAAAACAGUUCCUUUUCAUAAAGCGUUCGCAAGUGUACAUUGCUGAGCUUUUAGCAGCAUUUCAAACAAACCUGUGACCUGCUGACCUACAGGUGGAAAGACUAUCUAUAAAUUUGCCCAGGGACAGGCAUUUUGUUUUACUUGGCAAUGCUUCCCACUGAAUAUUAAAGAGCCAGAAUUAAGUGAGGUCAGCAUUGUGCCACCAUGUGCCCCCCCCCGCUGCCAUUCAAACCUUGUUAAUCUUGCUCGACUAAAAAGCUGGAAACUGAUGCUAUAAAAACAGGAAUGCUGUUGCUAACAAAAAGUAGCAUGAGCCAAGGGUUUCGAUCCAUGUCCGGAGGACAUGGAGGGAUUAUACGAACCUUGAAGCAAUUAGUUAAAUUGUCUCCCUUCUGGUAAAUUCCAAAAGACAUUAUUAAUUGAACUGCUGGUCCCUAUUAAAGAGUCCAGCUAUUCAAGGACCCUGACAGCGUGCCUGAAGACAUUCCUGAAAUAUAUCUUCAGCUUUAGGAAAGACCAUUUAGCGAAAAUCAAUGUCUGCCAAGUUCAUAUUUACCAAAUGUAGCUGAAUGCAAAAGGAGGUACUAACUUCUACAUGUUUGGCAAAUAGUUCUCAAUAUUGACUAUUCCUGAACAAAGCUGAGGAACUGAAUGACUGGAGAAAGUUGGGGGCUGAUAUAUGCAUUGAGGCAGAGAGCCAGAGCUUUAGAUUUCCGGAUUUACUGGAUUAAUUAAACAAAUAAAUUACCGUAUUUUUUGCACCAUAGGACGCACCGAACAAUAGGACGCACUUUGUUUUAAAGGGGGGAGAACAAGAAAAAAAAAAUCUCCCCCUCUCUGCUCAGCGCCCCUUCCGCAAAGCGGCAGGAGGUGCUGCGCAGAGAGGGGGAGAACUUUCCCCCUCUUGUUUUCCCGCUCUAAAACAAGGUGCCGUGUAAGGUGCGUUCAGGCGGCUACCUUGGACGCAUGGAGGGCGUGAGGGGUGGGUGUGCCCAGACCCCUCUCGCUCUCCAGGCUUCAGGUUCCUUUCGACCUGCUCUUUGGAGCUGGCGGGGGGAAGCCCACCACCAGCCCCAAAGAGCAGGUCAGGGAGCAGCGGAAAGGCGCAGCGGAGAGGCUCCUGCCAUAGCCGCGCGUCACCUCUCCAGCCGGGAGAGGGUUGUGGGGUGCUUCUUUAGCCCCGCGCGCACUCUCCCGGCUGGAGAGGUGACGUGCGGCUAUAGAAGCUCCUGCCAAACCGCGCGUCACCUCUCCAGCUGGGAGAGGGUCGCGGGGCUAUGGUGUCUUCGCUCCAUAGGACGCACACACAUUUCCCCUUCAUUUUUGAAGGGGAAAAAGUGCGUCCUAUAGAGCGAAAAAUACGGUAAACACAUCCAAAAGUACACAACUAAACUGAACUAUUCCCACCUAAAUUCAUGAUAAGGUCUAAAAAUGAAGAUACAAAAAUGGAAUAUCAAGAACAGAAACAAAAGCCUGCAAUACUCCCACCCUAAACAAUACACCUUUUGCAUUAUGGUGCUGGAGGAGACUCUUGAGAGUCCCAUGGACUGCAAGAAGAUCCAACCUAUCCAUUCUUAAGGAAAUCAGCCCUGAGUGCCCACUGGAAGGACAGAUCCUGAAGCUAAGGCUCCAAUACUUUGGCUACCUCAUGAGAAGAGAAGACUCCCUGGAAAAGACCCUGAUGUUGGGAAAGAUGGAGGGCACAAGGAGAAGGGGACGACAGAGGACGAGAUGGUUGGAUGGUGUUCUCGAGGCUACUAGCAUGAGUUUGACCAAGCUGCAGGAGGCGGUGGAGGACAGGAGUGGCUGACGUGCUCUGGUCCAUGGGGUCACGAAGAGUCGGACACGACUAAACGACUAAACAACAACAACAAACAAUACACCAGUCCAAGAGUUCAGCUUUUGUAGCUGGAAUCAGUUGGAAGGAAUGAGUUUCUUUUUGGGGGGGGGGAGUUCAAGUUCAAGAAAAAGAAAUGAGAGAAGAAACUGAUUUGUCUUACUGUGGAGACUACUGAUUAUGCCUUUGUGUUAAUGUCUACAAUGCGGAUUGAUCCCUUUGCUCAGCUGUUCUGCUUGGUUAGUUAACAAGGAAGAAUACUAUUGUUUCACUGGAAUACUGGCCCUGAAGAUUCAUGGCAACAAGUUUUUUUUAAAAAAACAUUUAAUUCUUUGUAUAACCACCAAAGCCAUGCUACCAAGAAGACGAUCUGUUGUUUUCCAUAUAAGCAAGGAGAGCAAUUAUCUUUGCAUGUGCCCACUGGGUUUUUUGAGAUGCUUUUCCAUGAACGCAAACCUCUGCUUCGCGGCGGAGUGCUGUGUACAUUAGGCAACGGAUGCAGCAGCAGGCAACAGAGUGCCCUGGCAAAGGAGAAAACUCAUUUUGCUCGGUGUGGUCCCUCUUCUCGAGAAGAGCAAUGUUUGUGCAACACGGCUCUGGUUGCUGGGAAGGGAAAGGAAACCACUGUGCACAUCUGCUCAGAUUUGGAAGCGCAGCUCUUCCAGAUGUCCAGCACAAAUAUUACAGAAGCCAACUUUGCAUCCCAAAGGCACAAUAAGUAAGUCCUGUGACUGGCCACUUCAGCAGUAGGCUUCUUCAGAGAUUCUUCACAUUAGAGCCACAGUUUUAAAUUGCUUAAUUAACAAGGUUAAUCAUUUAACUGCCUUCUGAUCUGCUGAAAAGUGUUUCAGAUUGAUAUGGCAAUGCACUUUUAAAAUAGAGCACCUUUGCAAACACUGCGGACAGCAGGUGCCAUUUUGGAAGAAACAUACUUCCAUCACUCUCACAAGAAGGGAAACCUGUUCUCAAGCUGCUACCUUUUAUACAUAUGUAUAGUGGGAUGCAGGUGGCGCUGUGGGUCUAGGACUUGCUGAUAGGAAAGUUGGCGGUUCGAAUCCCCGCGACGGGGUGAGCUCCCGUUGCUCAGUCCCUGCUCCUGCCAACCUAGAAGUUCGAAAGCACGUCAAAGUGCAAGUAGAUAAAUAGGUACCGCUCCAGCAGGGAGGUAAAUGGGGUUUCCGUGCGCGAGAUGAGCACCACAACCCCAGAGUCGGUCAUGACUGGACCAAAUGGUCAGGGGUCCCUUUACCUUUACCUAUACAUAUGUAUGCAUUAUGUUUGUUUGUUUUUUUACUGCAACACUUUGGUUUCAAAAACCACACGAUAACCCAUGGUGGUUAUAUACAGUGUAAGUAUAGAUGGAAUUUGCUGCAAUAGGUGACAAAGCAGUGCAAUCUUCUACUUUUUGGUGGUAGAAGUGGGAUCCACUACAUUUGGCUCCUGACAUUUGGCUUUAAGAGAGAACUUGGAUGAGAUUCUUCCUCUGGUCCAAACUGUGGUGGUUUAAUAAACCCAACUGAAAAAUAGUCAUGUAGAAAGUUAUGGAAACUACUGGAGUUCUGAUAAAUGGCUGGGAUAUUCAGACCACAUACAUCUUGUUCUCGAGUAUCAUCCUUGAUGCUAACAGCCUCCCCAAGUCAUCCUCAGCAUCCUUUAUUCUACAUCACAUAAGCAUGGGAAUGUAAUUACUCACCCCAGCUUCAAUAAAUAUUUCCUGAAUACAUGUACUAGAUAUAUUACCAUUGCUAAUACAGUUUCAAAAAUUGAAUUUCAUUGGUGAGAUGGAGCUAAGCUGGUCUGGCUCCAGCCAGUGUCUACAUGGGAGCUUGCAUAGACACCCUAUGUACAUUGCCCUAGACUCUACAGCAGGAUACAACUUACAUGAAAUAAUUGACUAAGAAGAAAUAAAUAUUAAGAGCGCUGAUGUCACUGAAUCAAAAACUUAUCCUAUUGGCCACACUGCUAUAACAACCGAAUGAAGUCCAGCAGCUAAACGGACCCAUGAAAUGAUUGCUUUCCCAGAUCCUUGUUAUCCAUUCUCUUCAUUGUCUAUGGACUUUAUGCUAUUGUGAGAAUUCAGUCCUCAACCUGAAAUAGCAAGUCUUAGAAACACCUGAAGGGGGCUUUGCAUAAAAUAAAUUGUUGUGGUUCGAGGACCCGAACCCCGCGCAGUGGAAUGAAACACAAGGACACGUGAUAUAAGGUUAAUGGGCAAGAAAAGGCCACAACUUUAUUGAUUACAGCAGUGAAAAGGUAUUGGCUUAGGCAUUGGAUGUCUAAAACAAGGGGGUUUAUUCACCAGUAGGUGGAGCCUGUUGAUGCUAAUCCAACUAUAGGCUCUCCCCUGAUGUCACCGAGGGUCGUGCCAUGGCCUCCCGCCAAGCAGGCAUUGGACAGAAUACACGACCGCCGGAUUCCUUUAACGGAAUACCCAAAAACUGAAGGUGCAGGCGAUGGCCACACCUAGCCCUUCGACACCACAACACAUUAUUCCAAAGCCUAACCUACCCACCAAUACCACGAAAGUUGUGACGAUUGCUACGAGGUAGGCGAAAAAACCAAAAGGCCUAAUGCCAAAUGGAAAAAUUCCUACCAGGCCCCCCGGACAACCAGGGCGACCAACCUAAGGUCCAUAGCAAGGCCAAAAGAAAACUGGAAACCCUGCUCUAAGGGAGUGGAGGGUGGGUGACUCGUGACAGGAGGACAAAAGUGAGGGCUGGAGGCUGUCGCCGCAGCAAUUUAGGCUGCUGUACACACCCCCUUGAAGGCACCUGGUUGGGUGCCUGGCCGAGGGCGUGAGCGCCAGCCAGGUGGGUGGGAGGCAGGGGGCAAAUGCCCCCUGCUUGAGGCGGAUUCUGGCUCCCGGCCACAACCACUCCCCUCUCUUGCAGGGAGGAGAGUCUUUGGGAAGCAUCUGUAGGCUUGUAGAGGAGAUAGGCAGAAGGUUAAGGGCAAAGUGCUGGCCCCGGAGAAUUAAUCAAGCAUCUUCCUGUCCAAUAAAGCCAUGGAGACAGACAUAUGAUAUUCUUUUGGAAUAGUCCUAAGCUGGAGAUGGGAAAGGCAAGCCAAUGAUAUUAUUUAUUGGAGUCCUGGAGUGUGUCUUCUACGAAAACAUAUCGUGGGGCAACUUGGUGAAAACAAAAGGGAGAUGAAAUGCUUGGGUCAAGGCCCUGAUCUCAUUUUUUGACAGAAUUACAAGCCUGGUAGAUGAAGGGAAUGCAGUGGAUGUAGCCUACCUUGAUUUCAGCAAGGCAUUUGACAAGGUGCCUCAUGAUAUUCUUGUAAAGAAGCUGGUAAAAUGUGGUCUUGACUAUGCUACCACUCAGUGGAUUUGUAACUGGCUGACUGACCGAACCCAAAGGGUGCUCAUCAAUGGUUCCUCUUCAUCCUGGAGAAGAGUGACUAGUGGGGUGCCACAGGGUUCUGUCUUGGGCCCGGUCUUAUUCAACAUCUUUAUCAACGACUUGGAUGAUGGACUCAAGGGCAUCCUGAUCAAAUUUGCAGAUGACACCAAAUUGGGAGGGGUGGCUAACACCCCAGAGGACAGGAUCACACUUCAAAACGACCUUGACAGAUUAGAGAACUGGGCCAAAACAAACAAGAUGAAUUUUAACAGGAGAAAUGUAAAGUAUUGCACUUGGGCAAAAAAAUGAGAGGCACAAAUACAAGAUGGGGACACCUGGCUUGAGAGCAGUACAUGUGAAAAGGAUCUAGGAGUCUUGGUUGACCACAAACUUGACAUGAGCCAACAGUGUGGCGCUAGCAGCUAAAAAGGCCAAUGCAAUUCUGGGCUGCAUCAAUAGGAGUAUAGCAUCUAGAUCAAGGGAAGUAAUAGUGCCACUGUAUUCUGCUCUGGUCAGACCUCACCUGGAGUACUGUGUCCAGUUCUGGGCACCACAGUUCAAGAAGGACAUUGACAAACUGGAGCGUGUCCAGAGGAGGGCAACCAAAAUGGUCAAAGGCCUGGAAACGAUGCCUUAUGAGGAACGGCUAAGAGAGCUGGGCAUGUUUAGCCUGGAGAAGAGGAGGUUGAGGGGUGAUAUGAUAGCCAUGUUCAAAUAUAUAAAAGGAUGUCACAUAGAGGAGGGAGAAAGGUUGUUUUCUGCUGCUCCAGAGAAGCGGACACGGAGCAAUGGAUCCAAACUACAAGAAAGAAGAUUCCACCUAAACAUUAGGAAGAACUUCCUGACAGUAAGAGCUGUUCGACAGUGGAAUUUGCUGCCAAGGAGUGUGGUGGAGUCUCCUUCUUUGGAGGUCUUUAAGCAGAGGCUUGACAACCAUAUGUCAGGAGUGCUCUGAUGGUGUUUCCUGCUUGGCAGGGGGUUGGACUCGAUGGCCCUUGUGGUCUCUUCCAACUCUAUGAUUCUAUGAUUCUAUGCUUUAUUCUGUAAAAUAUCCCAAUGCUUGGGAUAUUGCCCCGUUUCUUCUUAAGAUGUUGUGCUUCCAGGAAAAAUUCCCCAUGGGCUGAAAUGUCCCACCCCUGCCAUUCUUUCAUAAUAAAUAGGUCUAGAACAGGCACCCCCAAACUCAGCCCUCUAGAUGUUUUGCGACUACAACUCCCAUCAUCCCUGACCACUGGUCCUGUUAGCUAGGGAUGAUGGGAGUUGUAGUCCCAAAACAUCUGAAGGGCCGAGUUUGGGGGUGCCUUGUCUAGAAGGUGGAGGGAAUAUGUAACUAUAUCCCUGCUCAAUUUUUGUUCAACGUUUUUACCUGAGCCAGAAGACCAGUGGUUUAUCUAGCUGAGGAGUACAAAAGACUUAUGGACCUCAGACUUAUGGACCUAACUAGGCCCAUCAGGAUUCCCCAUGUGACCCACAAGGCCACUUUAGCCAAGCCAAGUCCACCUGCCCCACCCCUGAAAUCACAGGCCAUGUAUAGAUAUGCUGGGGCCAAAAGGGGGUUUGCAGGCACUGAUAAACAGAUGGUCAGUGAGGCCUGCAAAGCUUUCCAGGAUCUGAAGGUGGUGGUUCCCAGAUGUGUGGAUAGUGUCAUUAUAUGGUUUAGACACUAGACGGCACUGUGUUGUAUGUGAGAGGGAUCAGCAGCUUCCUGUGUCUAUCUUAUUCUUGCUGGAGACAGACAAUAACAUUCUUGUCUUUCCUCCUGACCAGUAUGCCCUCUAAACCUUCCAUGGUCAGCCCUGCUGAGCUGAAACCUGAGAUGUUUCAAACUAGAGAUACCAGGGACUGAACCUAGGACUCAAGAUUGGAAGUGAGGCCUUAUAUGCCCUGAGCUAUAUCAUCUCCCCCUUUAUUUUAUUUUAAUUUUUUGCCUAAUGUGUUUGCUGUUGCUGCUUGUGUUUCAGCGUCUGGCUCUAAGUGCUGCAGCCUCAUCUUUCAACAUAGUCCAAAAAUCUACUAAUAAAUUAUGGAGAGUUUAUGGGCUCAAUACAACCACAUUUAAUCACGAUCGAGUCCCAUUGAUUUCAAUGUGAAAGUUAAACACAUGCUUAAAUCUCUCUGAUUGACAUUAAUUGGAUUUGGAAAGUGUUUAAAUUUGGCUGGAUUAUUCCCUACAUUUGCAAGAUUAAAAGUAUUUAAAAGCCUGGAUGUCUGAAGAUUUGCCAAAGACCAAGACUAGGCAUAUUCUGGAAUCAGCAUUGAGUGGCACUGCUUAUUUAAUCAAGCCACCAGAAAGUCAUUUAUUUCUAAUUAUUUUAAGUAAAAACAAAUUUUGAAGCCUGUAUGUUGCUUCCAAAUGCAGAAUUCAUGUGCACACAACUAUUCUGCCGCGUCUAGUCAUUUGUAUUUUCUUCACUCAAAAAUCCAGCACCCUUCUCAGUCACAAACAUAUCUGGGGGGAAAAAUACCAAUUUUAUUUUAUGAAAAGCCAAACAUUUCCAACUUUCAAGGUGGUGCCAAAUCUUACAUCUGAAAUGGUAGCAAAGAAAACUUGGUGCCAUAUCCAAGUAAUGGGAAAGACACAUAACACUAGUCUGUACAAAGAGCCUAAUAUUGUAGCUACCCCAGUCAUAUGUCUCACUUAAGACAAUAGCAGUUGGUGAGAAGGGGCAGGACCCUCACACCUGACCUCCUGGCCGUGGAGUCCCUGUCAUUGUGGAGAGCGUAUUAACUUAUGGUCUGUGUGUGUGGUUUGGGAGCUGCACGGCCAGGGAAAAAACAAUGCUGUCCAGGGUUGUAAAGACUGCAGAGAGAAUAAUUGGGUGCACUCUUCCCACCUUAGAUCAAAUCUAUGCUUCCAGGUGCCAUAAGAAAGCGGCAGAGAUAGCGCAGGAUAGUACGCACCCCGGAAAUGAUCUUUUUCAGCUUCUGCCUUCUGGAAGAAGGUGUAGGGUUGUAAAGGCCAGGACUAGCCGCCUGAGAAACAGUUUCUACGCAAAUGCAAUUCUGGUUCUAAACGCAGCAUAAGGGGUCUUUAUAGUAUAGUGUAUUUUAAAAUGGGGUUUCAGAGUUUUUAGGGGUUUUUGAAUGUUUUAUGCAGUUUUUAUGUAGUUUUAUGUAGUUUUGUAGUAGUUUUAUGUAGUUUUGUAGUAGUUUUAUGUAGUUUUUCAAUUUCAUUGUUCUGCAUGGGACAAUGACAAUAAAGAUAUCGUAUAUCGUAUAUCAUUUGCUGGAAGUAGGCUAAGGCAAGAGGGAGGCAGGUUCAUCAGUGGGAGCUCUUGUGUCAAGGACUGGCUGGAUGAGGAGUAAUAAAAUAAUAAUAAUACAUUUUAUUUAUACCCCACCCUCCCCAGCCAAGACCAGGCUCAGGGCAGGUAUAAAAACAAUUGAUUAAAAUACAACUUAAAAACAAGAUUAAAAUACAACAUAAAAAUGCAGCUUCAUUUCAGUAGAAACUCAAAUCAAAAACUUUUGGGCGAUGAAAACGUCAAAUCUUCACCAAGGCCACCUAUCCAGACUGGUCCUACGUGGGCCAGAAAAAAGCCAGGGAAGUCCCCAAAUAGGAGUUCCAUCGCAGAAGGAGAAAGGAAAAAAGAAAGAGAGGGAGGAAAUCAAAUUGAUUCCAAGCCAAAGGCCAGGUGGAACAACUCUGUCUUAUAGGCCCUGUGAAAAGAAAUCAGAUCCUGCAGGGCCCUGGUCUCAUGAGACCACCCACCCAAGACCCCCCCUAGGGAAGGCACAGAAGAAGAUGAUUUAGAUCUUAGUGGUGGGACACUGGCCACACUUCAGAAGAGGCGACAAGCUGGGAGGUACUAGAAGCAGGAAGCUUGAGGGACUAAAAAAAGGUAGAAGAAGGCAGGUGGCCCAGCACAGGGCAGGGUGAUGAGGUUUGCAGUUCAGAUGCAUGCUCUGACAGAGAUGAGGAAGGGGAGCCAGACUCUCUCUCUCUCUCUCUCUCUCUCUCUGUCUCUCUCUCUGACUUGUGAAUGACCUACUCUUCCUGUCAGCCUUGUGACAGCUGGAUUGCUUCUGCUGGUACGCCAACACGGCACCAGCAUUUCCACCUUUUAAUAAUAAUAAUAACAAUAAUAAUAAUAAUAAUAAUAAUAAUAAUAAUAAUAAUAAUAAUUUUAUUUAUAAACCACUCUCCCGGCCAAGACUGGGUUCAGGGCUGCUAACAUCAGGUAUAAAAACAACUGAUUAAAAUACAACUUAAAAUGCAGCCUCAUUUCAGAUCAAAAACUGUUUGGGGGAAGAAAACGUCAAAUCUUCACCAAGGCCAACUAUCCAGACUGGUCCUAUGUGGGCCAGAAAAAAGACAGGGAAGUCCCCAGAUAGGGGUUCCAUCAUAGAAGGAAGAGGGGGAGGGGAUCAGGCUGAUUCCAAGCCAAAGGCCAGGCAGAACAACUCUGUCUUACAGGCCCUGCAGAAAGAAAUCAGAUCCCACAGGGCCCUGGUCUCAUGAGACAGAGCGUUCCACCAGGCCGGAGCCAGUGUUGAGAAGGCCCUGGUUCACCGCUCCCCCUCUCUCCCCUGCUUAGCAGCAGUGACUCUGCAGCUGGGAGGUCAAGUGUAGCUACAGGUUUUGUUAGCAUCCGUCUGCCUUGAGGGACAAUGGAAGAGGGUGCCAUGAGGGGUAAAGUCAAACCGUUGGAGAGUUACAGUGCCUGCUGUGGCUGUAGAGACCAAUAUGGGAGAGGCAUGUUUUAUUGCAGGCAGAUGAAGGUGAUUUCAGGCCGUUACAGCCUAAGGAUCAGUCCUUUUGCAGCAUAAUCCUAGGCAUGGUUACUUGGAGAUAAGCCCCACUGUGUUCAGUAGCAAUUAUUCCCCAUUGUUUAGGAUGGCAGCAUUAAACGUAUUAAUCUAGAGUAGGGAUGUAGAACACUCCCUCCCCUGCCAUGCUCUCCCCCAUGUGUCAUCUUCCAGAGACCACAGGAAGCAACUGAUGUGGUUCUUGCUUUUCUGUUGUAAGCAUCAUUCUAGCCACAGAAUAACCAGAGUUUUCUAAUACACAGACAGCAGAGGAGCCAACCCCCAUGGCAGGUUGCCAGGAAUGGAUAAGACAAAGAAAAGUGCUAACCAUCUUUACAGAGAGAGGUUUGAGAAUGCAGCCUCUUGGAAUAAUGGUGUUCUCCUGAGUAAAUCUCCACCCACUUUUUCUCCCACUUCCCCAUUCGUCAACAGCACCCCCCCCAUAUGGUUGCUGCUUAGGGCCAUCUGUCUCCAAGCUCUUUACUCUCAUACUUUUAAGGCUUGCCGGGUUCUGGAAGAUGGUGGGUCUGGAACACUUUCUCGUGAUAAUGUGUCAGCCAGCUGCUCCAGCUCUGCCUCUUCCUCCUCUCCCAUUAUUUCCCACCUUUCCCCCUCAUCUUCCUCUGAACUGUGACCUCCCUCAAACCCCUGUUAUAAUUCUGAACUGUCUUCUUCUCCUCUGGGUCAGGCUGGGGAGGCGGUCUCCACCAUUCCUCCUCGGCCCAGUCCCUGACACAUAUAUUCAUCUCUCUGUUCUCCAUCUAGGCAGACAAGAGGUAUUAUUGCAAUUCAAGCUCUCAUUCUAGGCUAGAAAAAGCACCCAAGAAGAGCGCAUAGCAGGAACAUGCUAGGAACAUGGCUUGGGGAGAGGGUAUAUGGCCCUGGUGGGAAGCAUACUGAGAUCCAGAUAGAGAGACAUGGAGCAUCGCUGCAUUUGAUCGCUAGGCCAGUUUGCUCUCCUAAGCUUAUACGAAGCAAAAGAAUCAAUCUUCACAUUUCUUGAACCCACCGCAACCUUCUGCAGAGCUCAUGGCAUGAAUAAACACGCAUAGAACUUCACUGUGAUUUCAUGGAGUGUGGGGUUGUAGCUUCUUCCAAAAAGUUGCAUUUUAAAAAGAAGACAAGAGAACGGCCAGGUUCACUGGUGGGAUAUGAUGUUCAACAUCUUUCUAGUCCUUCAGGAGGUCGCAACAUCAAACGUUAGAAGAAGCAGAAAGGGAAUGGAAGUAUCUCCUUAUCUGCUGUUUAAACUAUGAAUGAGAUAAUUUGAGAUCUAGCAUGUCGCAG